Molecule: ribosomal RNA, 206 nt
Filed under: uncultured bacterium
Lineage: Bacteria
Description: partial 16S ribosomal RNA
Rfam family: Bacterial small subunit ribosomal RNA
Source: RNAcentral
GACGAACGCUUGCGGCGUGCCUAAGAAAUGCAAGUCGAACGGGCAUCGGCUUCGGUCGGUGUCAGUGGCGAACGGUCGCGUAACACGUAGGCAACCUGCCCUAAAGUGGGGGAGUAACGACCCGAAACGGGUUGGCUAAUACCGCAUGUGGCCCCACGGAUCGCAUGGUCCUGUGUCUGAAGGGGUGGAGCAAUCACUUCGCUUUA